UUUACCAUUUACAGAGGGCUUCAACUCGUCGUUCCGCCUAGGGCCCCUGAUACCCUUGAUCCGCCACUGCGGACGAGGCAACUUCUUCUCCUGUAUCGCCUCGCGCGCGGUUGGUGCCUUCCCUAUCAGCGUUCCCAUCGCACCAAACCGCAAUCUAGAGCCGGGCCGGGCUUCUCCGGUUUCUUCUCCCUUGUUCGGCUGGUGGCAAUCGCGCUUAUCGCGGUUCGAGCGUUUUCGGUUUGCUCGCGCUUGUUUGACUGAUAAGGCGAGCAGAAAGCGAGAAAAAUGGAAAAUAAAACGCCAAGAAAAAGGCGGGUUUAGCCUUUGGGGGAAGGUUUGUGUGUUGCCACCGUUUUUGCGACAAGGGUUUGAUGAUGGGGAUGGCUCACCCACACAACUCACCCGGGGAACUGCCACCGGAAGGGUACGCUGACCAGCAGGUCAUUGUAACUUCGCGAGAGGACUCCGUUGGGACGAUGAUUAAAACAAGCAGAUUGCUUUCAAUUAUUGCAAACGAAGCGUAGGGAUGGAAUGGGCCUCUAUUUGACGUUUAAAUACACUCUCUUCUUGGUGAGGUAAGCGCAAUUAAGAGAUGUUUUUUCUCCCGUCGAAAGCAUAGCAAACGCACGGAGGACGCAAAAAAGCAACGCAUCAAAUGCAUCACAUCCCUGUGCACAACCGAUCGGAGCAAUUUAAAGGGCGUUUAGCUUGUUAAACACCGCGUCCUGGUCGGCACGCGUUUGGCGAUUCUCUCUGUGGCUGGCGGUAAAGCUGGAAGCCAUCUGUCCCCUUGCUGCACCAUUGACAGCAGAGUCUGUCAGGAAGGAAGAAAAAAAAACUAAACUCAAUGUAAAACCUCAACCUGUCAGAAGCGGCUCAUCAUGAUACACGGUACACGGUUAUCUCGAGCACCCGAACCGCCCGGACGAGAACCACAUUUGCGAAAACGGAACGAGUUUGACAGCAAAGAAUUGCCCAUCGUCUAUGAAGCCUUCCGGUUAGGUAGUCCAUGUUUCAUUGCUCCAUGUGCCUUGUACGAGCGGCUGAGGCAAAACAAUCGAUAGAAAGUGAGCGUAAAAUCUUCCUGACAAUGUUUUUUUCCCUCAAUGAUUAAAUGAUUAAGAACAGUGCAUCACAGUUUUAACAGACGAGAAAAGAGAAUGCUCCUCACACGUGCAACCACGGUUGGUUUACGGGUUACUUUCGAAUAUUGCAUCAUUAUUGCCAACACUGGUUCAUUUCUCGAAGGCGUUUUGCUAAGAUUGUGAUGGUGUGAUAAUAAAAGCACUAAUAACCUAU
Molecule: long non-coding RNA, 1299 nt
Organism: Anopheles gambiae (African malaria mosquito)
Lineage: Eukaryota; Metazoa; Arthropoda; Insecta; Diptera; Culicidae
Exons: 3
Source: RefSeq, a predicted model, not a curated record